UACGUAGGGGGCAAGCGUUGUCCGGAUUUAUUGGGCGUAAAGCGCUCGCAGGUGGUUCGAUGCGUCGUGCGUGAAAGGCCCCGGCUCAACUGGGGGGUGUCGUGCGAUACGGUCGGACUGGAGGCCAGUAGGGGGAUGCGGAAUUCCGGGUGUAGUGGUGGAAUGCGUAGAGAUCCGGAGGAACACCAGCGGCGAAGGCGGCAUCCUGGACUGGUCCUGACACUCAUGAGCGAAAGCGUGGGGAGCGAUCCGG
RNAcentral lists this ribosomal RNA (253 nucleotides) under uncultured bacterium. Its description in RNAcentral is "partial 16S ribosomal RNA". It matches the Rfam family "Bacterial small subunit ribosomal RNA", at positions 524 to 776 of the family's 1533-position model. The record is from RNAcentral.